UGAAAGACGGUCUUGCUGUCACUUAUAGAUGGAUCCGCGCUGCAUUAGCUAGUUGGUAAGGUAACGGCUUACCAAGGCAACGAUGCAUAGCCGACCUGAGAGGGUGAUCGGCCACACUGGAACUGAGACACGGUCCAGACUCCUACGGGAGGCAGCAGUAGGGAAUCUUCCGCAAUGGGCGAAAGCCUGACGGAGCAACGCCGCGUGAGUGAUGAAGGUCUUCGGAUCGUAAAACUCUGUUAUUAGGGAAGAACAUAUGUGUAAGUAACUGUGCACAUCUUGACGGUACCUAAUCAGAAAGCCACGGCUAACUACGUGCCAGCAGCCGCGGUAAUACGUAGGUGGCAAGCGUUAUCCGGAAUUAUUGGGCGUAAAGCGCGCGUAGGCGGUUUUUUAAGUCUGAUGUGAAAGCCCACGGCUCAACCGUGGAGGGUCAUUGGAAACUGGAAAACUUGAGUGCAGAAGAGGAAAGUGGAAUUCCAUGUGUAGCGGUGAAAUGCGCAGAGAUAUGGAGGAACACCAGUGGCGAAGGCGACUUUCUGGUCUGUAACUGACGCUGAUGUGCGAAAGCGUGGGGAUC
RNAcentral lists this ribosomal RNA (580 nucleotides) under Staphylococcus aureus. RNAcentral's name for it is "bacterial SSU rRNA". It matches the Rfam family "Bacterial small subunit ribosomal RNA", at positions 201 to 769 of the family's 1533-position model. The record is from RNAcentral. Lineage: Bacteria; Bacillati; Bacillota; Bacilli; Caryophanales; Staphylococcaceae.